GUCGAACGAAGCGCUUAAGAACGAUUCUUCGGAUGAUGUCUUUUGUGACUGAGUGGCGGACGGGUGAGUAACGCGUGGGUAACCUGCCUCACACAGGGGGAUAACAGUUGGAAACGACCGCUAAUACCGCAUAACCCGCUGGUAUCGCAUGAUACUGACGGAAAAGAUUUAUCGGUGUGAGAUGGACCCGCGUCUGAUUAGCCAGUUGGCAGGGUAACGGCCUACCAAAGCGACGAUCAGUAGCCGGCCUGAGAGGGUGAACGGCCACAUUGGGACUGAGACACGGCCCAAACUCCUACGGGAGGCAGCAGUGGGGAAUAUUGCACAAUGGGGGAAACCCUGAUGCAGCGACGCCGCGUGAGUGAAGAAGUAUUUCGGUAUGUAAAGCUCUAUCAUCAGGGAAGAAAAUGACGGUACCUGACCAAGAAGCCCCGGCUAACUACGUGCCAGCAGCCGCGGUAAUACGUAGGGGGCAAGCGUUAUCCGGAUUUACUGGGUGUAAAGGGAGCGUAGACGGUUGUGCAAGUCAGAAGUGAAAGCCCGGGGCUCAACUCCGGGACUUGCUUUUGAAACUGUUGAAACUGGAGUGCCGGGGCGGUCCGCGGCCUUCCUGGUGUNGCGGUGNNNUGCGUUGUUUUCGGGAGGNNCCCCCGUGGCGNGGCGGCUUNCUGGNCUUNNCUGNGUUGNGCUCGAGCGUGGGACCCUUAGGGAANAACCNNNNAUCCACACCNAAACACCCUUUAUGACUGUCGGGGACAAAGUCCUUCGGUGCCGCAGCAAACGCAGUAAAUAUUCCACCUGGGGAGUACGUUCGCAAGAAUGAAACUCAAAGGAUUUGACGGGGACCCGCACAAGCGGUGGAGCGGGUGGUAAAAAAAAAAGCAACGCGAAGAACCUUACCAGGUCUUGACAUCCCUCUGAACGGAGCGUAAAAAAUCCUUUCCUUCGGGACAGAGGAGACAGGUGGUGCAUGGUUGUCGUCAGCUCGUGUCGUGAGAUGUUGGGUUAAGUCCCGCAACGAGCGCAACCCUUACCUUCAGUAGCCAGCGAGUGAAGUCGGGCACUCUGGAGGGACUGCCAGGGACAACUUGGAGGAAGGUGGGGAUGACGUCAAAUCAUCAUGCCCCUUAUGAUCUGGGCUACACACGUGCUAUUUUGGGAAAAACAAAGGGAAGCGACCAUGUGAAUGCGAGCAAAUCUCAAAAAUAACGUCUCAGUUCGGAUUGUUUUUUAAAGACUCGACUACAUGAAGCUGGAAUCGCUAGUAAU
Molecule: ribosomal RNA, 1269 nt
Filed under: uncultured bacterium
Lineage: Bacteria
Description: partial 16S ribosomal RNA
Rfam family: Bacterial small subunit ribosomal RNA
Source: RNAcentral